CGGGUGAGUAACACGUGAGCAACCUGCCCCUGACUCUGGGAUAAGCGCUGGAAACGGCGUCUAAUACUGGAUAUGUGACGUGAUCGCAUGGUCUGCGUCUGGAAAGAAUUUCGGUUGGGGAUGGGCUCGCGGCCUAUCAGCUUGUUGGUGAGGUAAUGGCUCACCAAGGCGUCGACGGGUAGCCGGCCUGAGAGGGUGACCGGCCACACUGGGACUGAGACACGGCCCAGACUCCUACGGGAGGCAGCAGUGGGGAAUAUUGCACAAUGGGCGCAAGCCUGAUGCAGCAACGCCGCGUGAGGGAUGACGGCCUUCGGGUUGUAAACCUCUUUUAGCAGGGAAGAAGCGAAAGUGACGGUACCUGCAGAAAAAGCGCCGGCUAACUACGUGCCAGCAGCCGCGGUAAUACGUAGGGCGCAAGCGUUAUCCGGAAUUAUUGGGCGUAAAGAGCUCGUAGGCGGUUUGUCGCGUCUGCUGUGAAAUCCGGAGGCUCAACCUCCGGCCUGCAGUGGGUACGGGCAGACUAGAGUGCGGUAGGGGAGAUUGGAAUUCCUGGUGUAGCGGUGGAAUGCGCAGAUAUCAGGAGGAACACCGAUGGCGAAGGCAGAUCUCUGGGCCGUAACUGACGCUGAGGAGCGAAAGGGUGGGGAGCAAACAGGCUUAGAUACCCUGGUAGUCCACCCCGUAAACGUUGGGAACUAGUUGUGGGGUCCAUUCCACGGAUUCCGUGACGCAGCUAACGCAUUAAGUUCCCCGCCUGGGGAGUACGGCCGCAAGGCUAAAACUCAAAGGAAUUGACGGGGACCCGCACAAGCGGCGGAGCAUGCGGAUUAAUUCGAUGCAACGCGAAGAACCUUACCAAGGCUUGACAUAUACGAGAACGGGCCAGAAAUGGUCAACUCUUUGGACACUCGUAAACAGGUGGUGCAUGGUUGUCGUCAGCUCGUGUCGUGAGAUGUUGGGUUAAGUCCCGCAACGAGCGCAACCCUCGUUCUAUGUUGCCAGCACGUAAUGGUGGGAACUCAUGGGAUACUGCCGGGGUCAACUCGGAGGAAGGUGGGGAUGACGUCAAAUCAUCAUGCCCCUUAUGUCUUGGGCUUCACGCUGCUACAAUGGCCGGUACAAAGGGCUGCAAUACCGCGAGGUGGAGCGAAUCCCAAAAAGCCGGUCCCAGUUCGGAUUGAGGUCUGCAACUCGACCUCAUGAAGUCGGAGUCGCUAGUAAUCGCAGAUCAGCAACGCUGCGGUGAAUACGUUCCCGGGUCUUGUACACACCGCCCGUCAAGUCAUGAAAGUCGGUACACCUGAAGCC
RNAcentral lists this ribosomal RNA (1311 nucleotides) under Microbacterium oxydans. RNAcentral's name for it is "bacterial SSU rRNA". It matches the Rfam family "Bacterial small subunit ribosomal RNA", at positions 103 to 1428 of the family's 1533-position model. The record is from RNAcentral. Lineage: Bacteria; Bacillati; Actinomycetota; Actinomycetes; Micrococcales; Microbacteriaceae.